UACGGGAGGCAGCAGUGGGGAAUAUUGCACAAUGGGCGCAAGCCUGAUGCAGCCAUGCCGCGUGUAUGAAAAAGGCCUUCGGGUUGUAAAGUACUUUCAGUCGUGAGGAAGGUGUUAAGGUUAAUAACCUUAGCAAUUGACGUUAGCGACAGAAGAAGCACCGGCUAACUCCGUGCCAGCAGCCGCGGUAAUACGGAGGGUGCGAGCGUUAAUCGGAAUUACUGGGCGUAAAGGGCACGCAGGCGGUUAAUUAAGUUGGAUGUGAAAUCCCCGGGCUUAACCUGGGAAUGGCAUUCAAGACUGGUUAGCUAGAGUCUUGUAGAGGGGGUAGAAUUCCAUGUGUAGCGGUGAAAUGCGUAGAGAUGUGGAGGAAUACCGGUGGGCGAAGGCGGCCCCUGGGACAAAGACUGACGCUCAUGUGCGAAAGCGUGGGGA
Molecule: ribosomal RNA, 435 nt
Filed under: uncultured bacterium
Lineage: Bacteria
Description: bacterial SSU rRNA
Rfam family: Bacterial small subunit ribosomal RNA
Source: RNAcentral